RNAcentral lists this ribosomal RNA (513 nucleotides) under uncultured Verrucomicrobiales ESR 22. RNAcentral's name for it is "partial 16S ribosomal RNA". The record is from RNAcentral. Lineage: Bacteria; Pseudomonadati; Verrucomicrobiota; Verrucomicrobiia; Verrucomicrobiales.
AUUACCGCGGCUGCUGGCACGAAGUUAGCCGUCCCUUCCUCUUCUGGUACUAUCAAUCAUGUUUGCUAUUAACAACCAUGCCUUACUCCCAGAUGACAGGAGUUUACAAUCCGAAGACCGUCAUCCUCCACGCGGCGUUGCACCAUCAGGGUUGCCCCCAUUGUGAAUUAUUCUCGACUGCUGCCACCCGUAGGUGUCCGGACCGUGUCUCAGUUCCAGUGUGCCUGAUCGUCCUCUCAGACCAGGUACCCGUCGUAGCCUUGGUGAGCCAUUACCUCACCAACAAGCUGAUAGGGUGCGAACCAAUCCUAUAGCGACAGCCUUGCGGCCACCUUUACUCUUGCGAGACUAUGGGGUAUUAAUCCAAGUUUCCCUGGGCUAUUCCCCACUAUAGGGCAUGUAAUUCACAUGUUACUCACCCGUGCGCCACUAGACUGGAAUCGUAUUACUACUCAACCAAUCCCGUGCGACUUGCAUGUCUUAAACACGCCGCCAGCGUUCGUUCUGAGCCAG